Molecule: non-coding RNA, 74 nt
Organism: Angiostrongylus cantonensis (rat lungworm)
Lineage: Eukaryota; Metazoa; Nematoda; Chromadorea; Rhabditida; Metastrongylidae
Source: Rfam
GCAGGCAUAGGUCAGUCGGUUAGAGCGUGGGUCUAAUAAGCCCAAGGUCACAGCUUCGACCCCUGCUGGCGGCA